RNAcentral lists this ribosomal RNA (253 nucleotides) under uncultured bacterium. RNAcentral's name for it is "partial 16S ribosomal RNA". It matches the Rfam family "Bacterial small subunit ribosomal RNA", at positions 524 to 776 of the family's 1533-position model. The record is from RNAcentral.
UACGUAGGGUGCAAGCGUUAAUCGGAAUUACUGGGCGUAAAGCGUGCGCAGGCGGUGAUGUAAGACAGGUGUGAAAUCCCCGGGCUUAACCUGGGAAUGGCAUUUGGGACUGCAAGGCUCGAGUGCGGCAGAGGAGACUGGAAUUCCUGGUGUAGCAGUGAAAUGCGUAGAUAUCAGGAGGAACACCGAUGGCGAAGGCAGGUCUCUGGGCUGACACUGACGCUCAUGCACGAAAGCGUGGGGAGCAAACAGG